UUUCACUUGAGGGUUUAAAGAGAAAUAAAAUAAAAUAAAAUAAGAGAAAAGAAACGUUUUUUUUUCUUCUUUUCUCUCUCGCGCGUCCGGUCGUCACCGCAUCUAAAUCCAAUUUCUUUUUCUUUCUUCCGAUAUGCAAACCCUAGCCGCUGACAAGUGUUGAAGUCGUCACCGCAUCCUAGAUCGCCGCAGACCCUUCGUGCCGAGCACUGAUCAGCUCCGUCGCGCUAAGCCUAUCCAUCCGUCCCUGUCGUCACGCUCAGCCACGAACCGCGCGGCGUCGAUCUCCACGCCCUAUGUCGAUUUCCAUUUCAUCAUCCGACAUUCUAUCCGUCAACCUUCAGCAGUGGUAAGGGCAAGGAUACUCGGGCGACUGAUAAGAGGAAUCUGUGACCGUACCAAAGGAACUAGGAACGCUUACACAUUUGAAUUUAUACGUCUUCUCAUGUUUUUAUAGUUUUCUUUUCACAAACCUUCCUUGACUGGGUCUAAGGGUUUGUGAUUUCUUUUUCAGUUAAUAUUUUCUUUCGUUUUUUUUAAAUUUUAUUUUCAUAUUUAAGGGGUACUCCGAUUCAAGUGAUUUGAAAUCUUGAGUUAAAGUCUGACUAGAUUCUAUAUUCACUUAAGUAGUAACGACCCCUUCUAGCUGUCUUAAGAAGUUGAGUUGUUACAAUUGGUAUUAGAGCCCAUGUUUUGGGUUCUGUAGACUAACUUACUAUGUAAGUUCAGGUUGUUCCUUUUGGCCAAUAAUGGAUUCUUCGUCAUCGCCAGGUAUGUCCCUUAUGAAAAGUAUUUAGGAUAAUAUACACUCAAAUAUGUAGCACUUAUGACUGCAUUUGAUGUGUUUUACUGGUAAGAGGAGUUGUUAAAAGUUGGUUGCGAACAAUUGCUAGGAAAUAGUACAUGUUAGGGGAAGAGGCAGUCACAGAAUUACCCGAAGGGGGUGCGAUCCCAAAGGGCAGAACCUGACAGUUCAAGAUCAAGAUCUUCAUGGUGAGGAUCCAUAAAUUCAAGAUUCACCAAUUCAUGUCCCUCUAGUACCAGAAGAUCCCUUGCCGCCUAGAGACCCCUCAGGGUCAGGGUAGCAGCAAACCCAGACAUGAAGCCAAGCCCAGCACACGGCUACGCCCCUAUAGACAUAGGCCCCCUUAGUUGUCCCAACAUAGUUCACUGAUUGGGCAACUGUUAUAGGGGAAGCAGUCACAUCAAUCGUGUUGAGUAAGAUGAAGGACAUGCUAGAUGAGAGAAUGGUCCAGUUUGUCCAGUCCCAUCAGUUACCACUGUCGCAGGUUCAAAUUUCGCAAGUUUAGACUCAGAACAUAACUCAAAAUUAGAGCAUGUCAGACCUUUCAUUAGAGGCUAAACAUUUGCAAGAUUUUGGAAAGUACAACCCCAACACCUUCAACGGGUCACUAAAGGAUCCUACCAAUGCAGAGUUAUGGAUAUCAACGAUUGAAACGAUUUUCUGUUAAUGGUGGCAGUCAGCAGAAAGGAUGUUAGGUGCAAGGGGGAACCUGUGACAUGGGAGCAGUUCAAGGAAAGCUUUUACGCGAAGUACUUCUCUGCCAACUUAAGGUGUACAAUAAACAAAAAGAGUUCUUGAGUUGAGGCAGGGGCACAUGUCGGUGGAGGAGUUUGAUACCCUGUCCCGUUUUGCCUCAAAAUUGGUUGCUACGGAGGCUAUGAGAGUGGAAAGGUUCGUUCAAGGUCUAAAGGACAGUAUACGAGGUAUCGUGCGAGCCUUCAGACCAACCAUUCAUGCUGAAGCACUUCGCUUGGCAGUUGAGAUGGAUUCAUAGUCAGGGGAUGAACACUCUCAAGCAUUUAGGCUAGGACUUUCCUUAGGUCAUAAGAGGAAGGCAGAUCAGAUGGCUUUCGAGCUUAAUCAUAUUAGAGGAGUCAAAGCUCAGUUAAACCACUUCGACACUUUAAGCAACAAGCCACUGAGGCGGGUAUGGUAGAAAGAAGGCUAAUGUGUAACUCGUGUGGGAGAAGUCAUCGAGGAUGAUGUUUGGCGAGCACUGGGGUCUGUUUUCAUUGGAAACAGGAGGGGCACUCGAGUGAUAGAUGCCCUAAUAGAAACACGUCAGGUUACGGGAACCAGUCUGUAGGCCAUAAACAAAGGAAUUCGAAUAGACUUCAGCAACAACAAGGUCUGUUUACUCAACCACCCAACAGGAGGCCGAGAAGUCAGGCAUUGUUAUAAUAGGUACGCUUCCAAUCUUGGGACACUUUGCAUUGGUAUUGUAUAAUUCGGGUUCAUCCCAUUCAUUUAUAUCAUCAAUAUUUGUUAAACAUGUCAUGUUAGAAUUAGAGCCUUUGCGCUAUGUGUUGUCAGUAUCCACUCCGUCUGGAGAAAUUAUGUUAGCAAAGGAAAAGAUAAAAGCAUGUCAGAUCGAAGUAGCGAGUCAUAUACUAGAUGUGACUUUAAUAGUCUUGGACAUGCGUGAUUUUGGGCAUGGAUUGGCUAGCUGCUAAUCAUGUUAGUAUAGACUCCUCUUGCAAGGAGAUGCUUUUUAACCUUCCCACGGAAGCUAGCUUUAAACUUAAAGGGGCGGGACCGUGGUCCUGCCCAAAGUAAUUUUAGCUAUGAAAGCCAAGAGGUUGCUUAACCGAGGUACCUGGAGUAUCUUGGCUAGUGUUGUUGACACUAGAGAGCCUGAGGUCUCCUUAACUUUGGAGCCAAUAGUAAGAGACUACCUAGAUGUUUUUCUAGAGGAUUUCUCAGGUCUGGCUCCGCACCAGGAGAUAGAUUUUGCUAUAGAGCAAGGUAUAAAUCCUAUCUCGAAAGUUCUGUACAUAAUGACUCUAGUAGAAUUAAAGGAGCUUAAGAUUUAGUUGCUAGAGUUGCUGGAUAAGGAUUUCAUCUGCCCUAGUGCGUCAUCAUGGGGUGCACCAGUGCUUUUCGUGAAAAAAAAAAAAAGAUGGGUCAUUGUGUCUUUACAUUAACUACUGGGAGUUGAAUAAGGUGACUAUAAAAAAAUAAGUAUUCACUCCCAAGAUUGACGACUUGUUUGAUCAAUUACAAGUGGCUACAGUAUUUUCCAAGAUUGACCUUCAGUCAGGUUACCAACAGUUGAGGAUAAAGGAUAGUGAUGUUCCUAAGACAACUUUUUGUUCGAGGUGUAGGCAUUAUGAGUUCAUCUUGAUGUCGUUUGGUUUGACAAAUGCUCCUACAGUAUUUAUGGACCUGAUGAAUAUAGUGUUCAAGAAAUUCCUUGACAUCUUUGUGAUAGUUUUCAUAGAUGAUAUUCUGGUUUAUUCCAAGACAAAGACAGAACACAAAGAGCACUUAUGAAGGGUUUUAGAGACUUUGAGGGCGCAUAAGUUGUAUGCCAAGUUUUCCAAAUGAGAGUUUUGGUUGAGGCAGAUAUCCUUUCUAGGGUAUGUGGUUCAAAGGAAGGUGUAUCUGUUGACCCCGCAAAAAUUGAGGUAGUCACGAGCUGACCUCGCCCUACCACAGUCAAUGAGGUGCGUAGUUUUUUGGGGUUGGCGGGCUACUAUCGUCGUUUUGUGAAGGACUUUUCCCGCAUAGCCAGUUGACUCGAAAAAUAGCUUUCUUUAUUUGGAGUAAGGCUUGUGAGGAUAGUUAUUAGGAUCUUAAGCAAAAGUUGUUACUGCCCCAGUUUUCACUGUACCAGAUGGAACAAGUGGUUUUAUUAUUUACAGUGAUGCCUCCAAGAAAGGUUUGGGAAGCGUACUGAUGUAGCAAGAUAAGGUAGUUACUUAUGCCUCUCGUUAGUUAAAGAACCAUGAACAAAACUAUCCCACACAUGAUUUGGAAUUGGCAGCCGUGGUUUUUACCUUAAAAAUCUGGAGGCACUACUUGUAUGGAGAAAAGAUACAGAUUUUCACGGACCACAAGAGUUUAAAUACUUCUUCACUCAGAAUGAGUUAAACAUGAGACAACGUAGGUGGUUGGAGUUGGUGAAGGACUAUGAUUGUGAGAUUCUAUACCACCCAGGGAAGGAAAAAUGUAGUGGCAGAUGCUUUAGGUAGGAAGGCAACCCAUUCAACAGCCCUUAUCACCAGAAUACUCAAUUAUGCAAGGACCUGGAGCAGACCGAGAUUGUAGUGGUGGUGGGGGAGGUCACUGCACAGUUGGCAUAAUUAUCGGUGCAAUUAAGUUUGAGACAGAGAAUUAUCGAUGCAUAACCUGGUUGAAAUAAUGCGACAGGUGAAGUCAGGGAAGGGUUGAGUUUUCUAUGUCCGCAGAUAAUGGUCUUACUUUUCGGAGACGCUUGUGUGUACCAGCGAAGGGUGACCUCAAGAACGAUAUGUUAUUGGAGGCUCAUAAUUCCCUAUUUUCGAUACAUCUUGGCAGUACCAAAAUGUACCAGGACCUAAAACGUUGUUACUAGUGGAAUGACAUGAAAAGGGAGAUAACAGAGUUUGUCAGUAAGUACUUAGUGUGUCAGCAGGUGAAGGCCUUGAAACAAAAGUUAGCAGGCUUGUUGCAACCUUUGAGUGUUCCAGAAUGGAAGUGGGAGAGUGUGUCGAUGGACUUCAUUGUAGGGUUGUUGCGAAUCGCGAAGGGUUUUACAGUGAUUUGGGUUGUAGUAGACAGAUUCACUAAGCUAGCACGUUUCCUUUCAGGGAAGUUUAUUUUUUUUUGGUAAGUAAGUGGGCGCAGUUAUACAAGAAAGAGGUAGUGAGGUUGCAUGGAGUGCCUGUGUUCAUUGUGUCGGACAGAGACCCUUGCUUUACAUCUAAUUUUUGGAAGAGUCUCCAAGUAGCGUUGGGUACUUGUUUGGAUUUUAGUACAACCUUUCACCCACAGACGGAUGGUUAGACAGAGUGUCUAAACCAAAUGUUGGAGGAUAUGUUACAUGCUUAUGCGUUAGAUUUUCCGGGGAGUUGGGACUUUCACCUGCAUUUGAUGAAGUUUGUUUAUAAUAAUAGUUAUCAGGCUACCAUUGGCACGUCGCUGUUUGAGGCCUUUUAUGGGAAGAGAUGCAGGUCGCCCGUGUGCUGGGAUGAGGUAGGUGCACGGAAGUUGCUAGGACCUGAGUUAGUAUAGACCACGAAUAAGGCAAUAGAAAAGAUCAGAGCACGUAUGCAAACAACUCAAAGCAACAAAAAAGUUACGCCGAUGUUAGGUGUAAAGACUAGAGUUUAAAAACUGGUGACAAAGUGUUUUUGAAGGUGGCACCCAUGAAAGGUGUUAUGAGAUUUGGAAGAAAAGGAAGCUAAGUCCACAAUUUAUUGGGCCUUUCAAGAUCUUGGAACGGAUUAGGCCUGUGGCUUAUUGGUUAGUAAUGCCACCGUCUCUCUCCGUAGUUCAUAAUAUUUUUCAGCCUCCAUGUUAAGAAAGUAUAUAGUAGAUCGGUCUCAUGUAGUGGAUUAUGAGCCAUUGCAGUUGAACGAGAACUUAAGUUAUGAGGAGAGGCCUGUUCGAAUUCUUUCCAUGGAGGUGAAGACUUUAUGCAACAGGAAUAUAGCUCUUGUGAAGGUUUUGUGGUAAAAUCACCAAUUCGAGGAGACUACAUAGGAGCGAGAGGAGGAGAUGAGAAUCCAAUACCCUAAGCUUUUUCAAGAAUGAACUUUCGAGGACGAAAGUUUCUUAAGAAGGGAAGAAUGUGACAUUCCAAAUUUGUUCGUCAUUUAAAAUUUGUAUUUUGUGGUAAUUGCGAAUAUUUUAAAUCUUGGAGGAUAAAUUGAAUUACUGUAAAGGACGAUUCAAAUUAAAUAUUUUCUCAGAGAAGAAUUCUGAAAUUUAAAUUUGAUUAAAGGAAAUUUUGUGACUUGUGUCUAAUUGUUUCAAUUUUUAAUUUAUUUUGAAAAAUCGAAUUAAAAUUUGAAGUUUCGAGUUCGUCUUGUAUUCUCUGGAGAAGUUAAUUAAAUUAAAUCAAUUUAUUGUGAUAAUUGGUUUAAAAUAUCCUUUCCAAAAAGGAUAUGAGAUUCUAAAUCCAAAAGGAAUUUGGAUAUUUGGAUUUUUGAGAAAGAAAAGAAAAGGGUUUAAGUUUAUUUAAAUAGGUUAAGUCUUACUUGAGUGUUAAAGAAAUUUUUUUUAAAAAAAAAACAAAGGAAAAGAGAAAAGAAAAGUUUUUUUUUUUCUUCUUUUCUCUCUUGCACGCCAGGUCGUCCCCCCCCCCCUUUCGUUUUAUUUUUCUUUCUUCCGGUACGCAAACCCUAGCCACCGCCAAGUGUUGAAACUGUCGCCGCGUCCCAGAUCACCGCAGACCCUUCGUGCCGAGCACCAGUCAACUCCACCGCGCCCCUUGUCCGCGUCAAGCCCAUCCAUCCGUCCCUGUCGUCGCGUUCAGCCACAAACCACAUGCCGCCGAUCUGCACGCCCUGCGCCAAUUUUCGUUUCGUCAGCCGACGUUCUGUCCGUCAAGCUUCAGCAGUGAUAAGUCGCACGUCGCUACCAGUCGCCGAUCAGGGUUGCCGCCACUGCCUUGGUCGUCCUUGUCUAAAACCUUGAAUUUUUUUCUUUUGGAGACUGACGGGUCUAGUCUCAUGUCUUGACUGUUGGGGAUGAUGCCCUAAACUCUUGUUGGGUCAUGUAGUUUGUAAAUAUUGUAUUGAACAAACACUUGUGAUGUAAAUGAUAUUUUUCUUCAUUUUUGUCUAUGGAACAUUGGAUGUUUUAA
Benincasa hispida (wax gourd) is the source of this 6596-nucleotide long non-coding RNA. RefSeq lists it as uncharacterized. The record is from RefSeq and is a predicted model, not a curated record. NCBI's taxonomy places the organism in Eukaryota, Viridiplantae, Streptophyta, Magnoliopsida, Cucurbitales, Cucurbitaceae.